CAAAGUGAUGAAUUAAAUCACAAUUGUCACUACCUCUGAGGCAUACUUUUCAAUGUUGUUUUGUUUUUGUUUGCUUGAGAGUAGCCUGGUG
Small nucleolar RNA from Capsella rubella, 91 nucleotides. It matches the Rfam family "Small nucleolar RNA snoR17". The record is from Rfam. Lineage: Eukaryota; Viridiplantae; Streptophyta; Magnoliopsida; Brassicales; Brassicaceae.